This 517-nucleotide long non-coding RNA is filed under the name Cricetulus griseus (Chinese hamster). RNAcentral's name for it is "lncRNA (ENSCGRG00015043157.1)". The record is from RNAcentral. Lineage: Eukaryota; Metazoa; Chordata; Mammalia; Rodentia; Cricetidae.
GGGAUACGUUUUGGGUUUUCUUUCAUUGAGUCAUGUGACACCACACUAGGUAACUUUCUUCUUCAGUCUUUCUGUACAGUUUCUGUGAAGCCUGGAGGGCUGGAGCAGGCUGGGUGACUGGCAGUUGAGCAGCUGCCAGUCUGUGAGGCAUGCGAAGUGGGGAUGUCUCUGCCCCAAUUGCCAUCCUGCCUUGGGUCCUGGCUUGCAGCGGGAGUUUCCCUGCCCAGAGCACAUGGCUUGCAAGGCCGCCAUCUGCCUGGCUGCCCGGCCUUCUCUGCUCCACACACAUGGCUGUUCCUAAGUAGACUUCGAGCCCUGGAUGUGCUGUGGAUGUGAACCAGUCCAGCUGAUAUGACACCCACUGUCUCUGCAACAGAGUCUGCCAAACAGAAGCUUCUGAUAGAAUCCCCAUUGCCUAAAUUCCCUUUUUUGCUUUUGACUAGCAUUUCAGCCUUCUUGGGUCCCGAACUUCGUCCCAAAGUCAGCAGGAAGUAGAAUGGGAAUGAAUACAUCGCCC